This 305-nucleotide ribosomal RNA is filed under the name uncultured bacterium. RNAcentral's name for it is "bacterial SSU rRNA". It matches the Rfam family "Bacterial small subunit ribosomal RNA", at positions 337 to 632 of the family's 1533-position model. The record is from RNAcentral.
CCCUACGGGGCGCAGCAGUAGGGAAUCUUCCACAAUGGACGAAAGUCUGAUGGAGCAACGCCGCGUGAGUGAAGAAGGGUUUCGGCUCGUAAAGCUCUGUUGGUAGUGAAGAAAGAUAGAGGUAGUAACUGGCCUUUAUUUGACGGUAAUUACUUAGAAAGUCACGGCUAACUACGUGCCAGCAGCCGCGGUAAUACGUAGGUGGCAAGCGUUGUCCGGAUUUAUUGGGCGUAAAGCGAGUGCAGGCGGUUCAAGAAGUCUGAUGUGAAAGACUUCGGGUCAACCGGAGAAGUGCAACAGGAAAA